GAUGAACGCUGGCGGCGUGCCUAAUACAUGCAAGUCGAGCGAAAAGACGAGGAGCUUGCUCCUCUGACGUUAGCGGCGGACGGGUGAGUAACACGUGGAUAACCUACCUAUAAGACUGGGAUAACUUCGGGAAACCGGAGCUAAUACCGGAUAAUAUAUUGAACCGCAUGGUUCAAUAGUGAAAGACGGUUUUGCUGUCACUUAUAGAUGGAUCCGCGCCGCAUUAGCUAGUUGGUAAGGUAACGGCUUACCACGGCGACGAUGCGUAGCCGACCUGAGAGGGUGAUCGGCGACACGGGAGCUGAGACACGGUCCAGACUCCUACGGGAGGCAGCAGUAGGGAAUCGUCCGCAAUGGGCGAAAGCCUGACGGAACAACGCCGCGUGAGUGAUGAAGGUCUUCGGAUCGUAAAACUCUGUUAUUAGGGAAGAACAAAUGUGUAAGUAACUAUGCACUGCUUGACGGUACCUAAUCAGAAAGCCACGGCUAACUACGUG
RNAcentral lists this ribosomal RNA (497 nucleotides) under uncultured bacterium. Its description in RNAcentral is "partial 16S ribosomal RNA". It matches the Rfam family "Bacterial small subunit ribosomal RNA", at positions 28 to 507 of the family's 1533-position model. The record is from RNAcentral.